This 391-nucleotide long non-coding RNA is filed under the name Carica papaya (papaya). Its description in RNAcentral is "long non-coding RNA (CPAP_LNC002378)". The record is from RNAcentral. Lineage: Eukaryota; Viridiplantae; Streptophyta; Magnoliopsida; Brassicales; Caricaceae.
CCUCCUUUCAUAAGACUAGAAUUCCCCCAGAAGCUCCUCUAACUAGUAGAUCUCUCCAACCAAUCUCCUUAGUCUUCCAAAUACUUUGGAUAAUCCCAAUAGAGAUUAUUUCCAUUUUAGAUUCCUACAGACAAAUCACAUCAGGUUUUUUCUUACUCAUGCAACCCCUAAUAACAUGCAUCUUUUUACAGUACUUUAUACCUCUUAUCUUCCAAGAAAUAAUGCGACCAAACAUGUUUUGAUUCAACCCCUAAUGAGUUACCAAUACUCACAACCUACUCAGGGUCAAAACUCCUUUUUGCUAUUAUUCCUUUGUCUGGCAAUCCUAGCGUUCCUUAAACCUUAUAUGAAACCGCUAUCCAUCUAAGUUGGUAAGUUGUUAUGGAGGAGU